CACAGUCCUUGUAAUUGCAUAUACUCAGGCACUUUAUUUUGUAAAUCCACACAGGAUACAGCAGUAAAUGAAAACAAAAGUAACAGAAAACCCUAUAAACAAAAACCUAGCUCGUCUGAGCACUAACUGACAUUAGUUCCCUAUCUCUCAGGGUUAAUCUAAACACAAUAUUGCACCAACCUUAUUAGAGAGCAACGCUCUGCUAGCUAGCCUGUUGCUUUCCUUUCUGCACUCCCAGUGCUCCAAGCCAGCCUUGCCCUGACUGCUUUCCUUUCUGCACUCCCAGUGCUCCAAGCCAGCCUUGCCCUGAC
Molecule: non-coding RNA, 311 nt
Organism: Pelobates cultripes (western spadefoot toad)
Lineage: Eukaryota; Metazoa; Chordata; Amphibia; Anura; Pelobatidae
Source: the annotation of a GenBank genome assembly